GACGAACGCUGGCGGCGUGCUUAACACAUGCAAGUCGAACGGAAAGGCCCUGCUUGCAGGGUACUCGAGUGGCGAACGGGUGAGUAACACGUGGGUGAUCUGCCCUGCACUUCGGGAUAAGCCUGAGAAACUGGGUCUAAUACCGGAUAGGACCAUCGAGUAGUGUCGGUGGUGGAAAGUUUUUCGGUGCAGGAUGCGCCCGCGGCCUAUCAGCUUGUUGGUGGGGUAAUGGCCUACCAAUGAGUCGACGGGUAGCCGGCCUGCGAGGGUGGGCGGCCACAUUGGGACUGAGACACGGCCCAGACUCCUACGGGAGGCAGCAGUGGGGAAUAUUGCACAAUGGGCGCAAGCCUGAUGCAGCGACGCCGCGUGGGGGAUGCAGGCCUUCGGGUGGUAAACUCCUUUCAGCCAUGACGAAGCUGGCCUUGUUGGGUCAGUGACGGUAGUGGUAGAAGAAGCACCGGCUAACUACGUGCCAGCAGCCGGUGUAA
Molecule: ribosomal RNA, 491 nt
Filed under: uncultured bacterium
Lineage: Bacteria
Description: partial 16S ribosomal RNA
Rfam family: Bacterial small subunit ribosomal RNA
Source: RNAcentral